Non-coding RNA from Triticum aestivum (bread wheat), 135 nucleotides. Lineage: Eukaryota; Viridiplantae; Streptophyta; Magnoliopsida; Poales; Poaceae. The record is from Rfam.
UAUGUACUCCGUCCGUCCCAAAAUUCUUGUCUUAGAUUUGUCUCGAUACGGAUGUAUCUAAUACUAAAAUGUGAUUAGAUAGAUCCGUAUCUAGAAAAAUUUAAGACAAGAAUUUUGGGACGGAGGGAGUAGUUA